AAAGAAUCAUAUAUACGUAUGUGUGUGUAUAGAUAAUUAGGGUCAGUAACGGUAAUACCUUGACGAAAGAAGCCACCUUACUGUUUGCCGUCUGUUUCUGUUCCUGACCGCUUCUGCUGUAUCUGAAGGAGGAGGUUAGCUGCAAACUGUAGUGUUGAUUGGUACCGUUGAUUCUUAUCAGCAUCAAACUCCAGCUUUUGCUGACCUGGCACCAUACUUUGUGUUUCAUAAGCAUUAGUAUUGUAUACCUGGCUUGAUGAUGUAACAACAUUACCCACACUGUGCAAAUCACGUGGGUAAUCAGCUUGGUAUUGCUUAGUAACCUGCAUAGGGCCGUUGACUUUAUUUGACUGCAUGAAAUCACCAGUCAAAUUGGAAGUUUCGUGUUCAUACAUCUUUCCUCGAAGUUGUCUUUCAUUUAACACUGGUUCCGGCACUGUAUUACCCGAUAGCUGUUGACCAUUAGAGUUGACCUUAGCUAAAGAAGCCAGAGAUGCAACAAGUUCAGGUGUUAAAGAAAGUCCAACUGAAGUAGUUGAUGUAGCGGUAACCGGUGGUACAUGAUCCGCAUGUUGUGGGAACUUCAGAACAAUCCCAUAAAGAAAGGCAGGACCAGAAACUUUCAAAACCGUUUCUAAAAAGUCAGAUGGUGGGACCAAGAAUAAAGUGGUCCCAUCACCAAAUUUAACAACACCUGCUCGGUUCCGAUCACCCAUGUACUGUAGAAACUCGGUAUACGAAGCAAAAUCCUCUUCACUAUCGGGUAAAAAGUAAACGAUAUCGAAUCCUAUAGCAUCUGCAUAAUGUUUUGCCAGCAUGUCCAGUCCUGUUCUAGCUGAACAAUUUACAAUUUCAGGCCUGCAUGUUGUCACAUUCAUAAUCUUAAAUGUUAAGACGUUGAGAUAUUAAUAAUGUAACACUUAAGGGUGACAAAUUCAAAAUCAGCUACAGUGGUUUCUUUUCAAUUUUUUCGUUUUUGUGUACCUCAACCCCUCAACUUUCAGCAUUGACACAUACACCCCCUCAGCUUUCUAAAAACUAUGCAAAUUGUCAUUUUGACCCCCCUCGAGUUUUACGUGCUUAUUUUUAUGUGCGCGGGUCAGAUAUAAUACGUUUUCAUGCUUAUUUUUAGGUACGUUCUCGGUUGGUCUACGUUUUGACAUAAACGAGUCGAGUCAAAUAUAAUACGUUAUCAUUAGGCGGUAUAAAUAGUUGCUUUAUAUUUCCAGCCACGCAACGCGCGAUACCAUUCUUUCACAUAAAAAACACUGUUUUCUUACUUGCUUAAUUUAAGUACGUUUUGGUAAAAAUCCAAGUUGGUUUACGUUUCGACGUAAUUUUUUCUCGGUAUUGAGUCAGGUCAAAUAACCUACGUUAUCGUGCUUAUUUUUAUGUGCGUUUUCAGUUAGUAUACACGUUUGUCGUAAAUUUGUUCAGAAACAUGUCAGGUCAAAUAUUUUACGAUACAAAUUUGAGUUACUUAAAGUUUCGACGCCGCCGCAACGCGCGGCGUGUCAGAAAUCAGAAUGCUAGUUUGUAAAAAGACUGGUCCAUCAAUGAGAGAAACGAAUUACUUACAUCUCAUAUCCAAUCCAAUCUCCGAUAGGAACACAACGUGCAUGACAAACAGGCGUUCCACCCUUUGCAAGGAUUCCUCGCCACAUAUAGUUUACAUCAGCACGAUCAACAUUCGAACUCCUCGUGAAUCUAGUGUUUGGGGAAACACUUCUGAAUACUUGAUCGUUUAACCGGGCAUGAUUAUUCGUUUCUUUUAUGGGCGUAUAACCAUCGGUUCUCAACCUCUUGGGCGCCCUUUGAAUUUGGUUUGCAUCAAAACCAUCCCAUGUCCCAUGAGUUGACUUGGUCAACGGAUUCAUACCUACUGAAGGAGACGAAAGCAUCUGAUUCGAAGGAGAUGACCUCCAAUUUAGAUCCCCGGUUGCAGUGACAAAACUAGGGUCGGGCCCACCGACAGUUGAAUCCAGAAAAGCAAAAGGUCGCGUAGAGCUAACGGGCCCUACAACACCAUGAGGAAUCACACGCUCACGUUGAGCAAUCACAUCCAAAUGUGGUGCAUGAAAUGGCAUUCCAUUAGCUAAUGCAACGGGCCUUGGGCCUAUGGAUCCGGUAAAAUAUGGGCUUGGUGCAGGCUUGUUUCUCGAGAACGUAAUUGAUAUUCUAGGAUCAUUGAAAAGUUUUCCCUGCAGCCCGUUCUUGGCACGUAGAGCCUCUUCCAUGCUUCUAAACUCGACAAAUGAGCAGAAUCUUGAGGGAAAACUUUCGAUUGUUUCGAUCUCACCGAACAAUAUUAAGGCAUUGUGCAACAUUUGUUCGUUAACGUGAACAGUGGGAGGAUAAGAUAUGCACAAAACAUUACUUGGAAGUUCUUCAUUCCGUUUCGGACCUUCUGAUGGCAGAAUAUGCUGUUAAAUAAACAUGAAGGGUAAAGUGUCUGCAGUCUGCGGACCACAUCUGCAGACAUCUGUAGAAAAGAGGUGGACCAAACCUUUGCAGUCUGCAAGAAGAAGGCUCUUUGUUUUUUAACGUAUGCAGUCUUCCAAAAUAAAUUGGUGGUAGUGUACGGGCGGUGGUGGUGGUGGUGCUGGACGGUGAUGGUGGUAGACGGUGGUGGUGGGUGAUGGACGAUGGUGGUGGUGAUGGACGGUAGUGGGUGGUGGACGGUGGUGGUGGUGGACGGUAGACGGUGGUGGUGGACGGUAGUGGGUGGUGGACGGUGGUGGUGAACUAUGGUCGUGGUGGUGAUGGGCGGUGGUGGUGGAUGGUGGCGUUUAACCCUCAGCAGACCUUAGAGGAUCUUAGAAGUGGUUGAGCCAAGUCUGCACCAAGAAGAGCUUGCGCAGACGUUUUUUAAUGAAACGUCUUCGGAAAAACAGUCUGUGCGUGGCAAUGUCUGCGCGGAGCAGACAGAAGAACUUGCGCAGAGGUUUUCAGAAAAAACAAACAGCACCUUAAUAUUCUACCAUGUAAAUUUUGCUUGGUCUUAUUAUGUGCAUUGUGAUUCAGUAACUGUCACUCUCAAAUUUAAUAGUCCCAUUAAAAGAGAAAAUAUAACCAAACAAAAUAGU
RNAcentral lists this long non-coding RNA (3086 nucleotides) under Helianthus annuus (common sunflower). Its description in RNAcentral is "hypothetical non coding rna". The record is from RNAcentral. Lineage: Eukaryota; Viridiplantae; Streptophyta; Magnoliopsida; Asterales; Asteraceae.